UACGUAGGUGGCAAGCGUUAUCCGGAUUUACUGGGUGUAAAGGGCGAGUAGGCGGGAUUGCAAGUCAGAUGUGAAAACUAUGGGCUCAACCCAUAGACUGCAUUUGAAACUGUAGUUCUUGAGUGAUGGAGAGGCAGGCGGAAUUCCCGGUGUAGCGGUGGAAUGCGUAGAUAUCGGGAGGAACACCAGUGGCGAAGGCGGCCUGCUGGACAUUAACUGACGCUGAGGCGCGAAAGCGUGGGGAGCAAACAGG
Molecule: ribosomal RNA, 253 nt
Filed under: Intestinimonas butyriciproducens
Lineage: Bacteria; Bacillati; Bacillota; Clostridia; Eubacteriales
Description: partial 16S ribosomal RNA
Rfam family: Bacterial small subunit ribosomal RNA
Source: RNAcentral